RNAcentral lists this ribosomal RNA (253 nucleotides) under uncultured bacterium. RNAcentral describes it as "partial 16S ribosomal RNA". It matches the Rfam family "Bacterial small subunit ribosomal RNA", at positions 524 to 776 of the family's 1533-position model. The record is from RNAcentral.
UACGUAGGUGGCGAGCGUUGUCCGGAUUUACUGGGCGUAAAGAGCGCGCAGGCGGUCGUUCAAGUCGCGUGUGAAAGCCCCCGGCUCAACUGGGGAGGGUCACGCGAUACUGAUCGACUCGAAGGCAGGAGAGGGUAGUGGAAUUCCCGGUGUAGUGGUGAAAUGCGCAGAUAUCAGGAAGAACACCAAUGGCGAAAGCAGCUUUCUGGGACGGUACUGACGCUGAGACGCGAAAGCGUGGGGAGCGAACAGG